Molecule: long non-coding RNA, 683 nt
Filed under: Chinchilla lanigera (long-tailed chinchilla)
Lineage: Eukaryota; Metazoa; Chordata; Mammalia; Rodentia; Chinchillidae
Description: lncRNA (ENSCLAG00000025740.1)
Source: RNAcentral
UGCGCAGCCACUGCGCAGGGUCGAAGUGUACCCCCUGCAGGGCGAGGCUGAGGGGCUGCUGCUCUGAGGAGCCUGGUGACAGGGCCCGUCUUGGUUCUCCCAGAGUUUACCCUAUUUCACUGGAUAAUGGAGAGAGAUGAAGAGGAAAGAAGGGACCUGUCUGAUAAAUUUGCGCAUCUAACGAAGAAAGAUUAUGACUCAGUGUUUGAUCGAAUUCGGACCUUGAUGCAGCAUCAUGGCUACCCUAAAAAACAUGACAGAGACAAGGCCCUAGUGGGCCAGACCUCCUCUGUGACCAUAAACCAGACUUCUAAGACCACAAGCCAGAUCUAUUCUGAUACCUCAAGCCAGAAAUUUUCUGAGACUGAGACCCAGACCUGUUAUGAGACCGAGAGCCAGACCUUUGUGACCGUGAGUCGGAGCGCUUCUCAGACAUCGAACCACAACUUUGCAACCGUUUACCAGAUCUCUUCAGACAGUUCAAACCAGAGCUUAUCAGAGAACGAGAGCCAGACCUAUCCUGAGAUCGCGAGCCCGACCUUUGUGACCGUGAGCCGGAGCACUUCUGAGACAAACCACAACUUUGCAACCGUGCACGAGAUCUCUUCAGACACUUCAAACCAGAGCCUGUCAGAGAACGAGAGCCACACCUAUGCUGAGACCAUGAACCAGACCUUUGUGAC